GAGGGGCGGCGAGGCGAGGCGAGGCGAGGCCUGACGGGCGGGCGCGCGCGCGGUUGGGCACGUGGGGGCCUUUCGUCCCCAGCGCCCCGGUACCCCGCGCCAGCCCCCACCCAUGUCCCGGCCCUCCCGUGGUAGCGGAUGAGCAGAAAAACUGAAACCCAUCCCCUUUCGCCGCCCGAAUCGCGGUUCUAGUGACUUUUCUGGGAAGUGCAAGAAACAAGGCCAUAAAAAGAAUGGCGUCCAUUUACAUAAUGCUUUGUUUGCAUUUUGCAAGUUUCUUUCGCUUAAAGCCACAGAAACCCCACCUCCUGCCCUUGCGCUGUUUCAACCGCGGUAGCCUUGUCAGACAUUCGGAACAAUAGUGUGCAUGUGUGGAAGCCUCGUUUAUUCAGGGGGUGCUGCCCAGGGGUUUUGGGGUGUGUGCUAGCGGUUUUUCAUGGGCGGUCAACGUCCCCGUUGCUGCCUUUUGGCCCCUUCCCUUCAGUGAGGCCGCCGCGCCCCGCGCUCCGGGGGCGGCCCCGAUGGGGCCCGCCAUCUUGGAAGCUCGUUUUUGCUGAGUUCUUCUAGCUGAGGAGACAUUGCUCGAGUCGCCGUCCUACGAGUUGUGAUUUCUGCCCCAUUCCUUGCCUCCUGGGGCUAAGCCAGACCAGAAAAUGCCGUGUGCGCAGCGUGCUCAGGAUCCCUUAGAGAAAGAGGUUAACGUGGCGCUCGUCCGCCUCCCCCAUUCCUCGCGGGGGUGGCCGCCAUGUUUCCUGAACACAAAAUGGCGACACGUGGCCUGGAUUUGUCGCCAGCGAGAAAUUGGGGUCCUCCCGAAAGCUACAUAAUGCACCCCUUUUCCUUCCCCGGGCCUUCCCUGCGCUUCGAGCAUUGUGACUAAGCCUGCAUAAAAUCCCCCUGCUGGUCCGAAGCUUAGCGAGAGACUUUUAAUGCGAUUCCUUUGCUUUCAUUUGAAAUGGGACCGUGUAAAAUAUAUAGGCGCGAUAUUGAUCUUUUUGUUCUUCUAAAGUUUAAUAAUGAAGAAGGGCCGUACCCAGAGAGGAAGACAUUUAAACAGAGAUGCAGUGACUUAAUUCAAGGUCACGCAGUGUCGGGGGAUGGAAUCCAGACCUUCUGAUAUCCUUGCUGGUUUGAGUGUAGUGGCACAGUCACAGCUCAGUGCAACUUCAAACUCCUGGACUCAGACACUCUUCCUGUCUCAGCCUUCUGACUGACUGGGACUACAGAGAUGGGGCCUUGUUAUGUUGCCCAGGCUAACCUCAAACUCCUGGCCUCAAGCAGUCAUCCUGCCUCAGUUUACCAUAGUGCCGGGAUUACAGCUGGAUUGCCAAGCCGGUAGAGCAUAAGCUUCAUGCUGCUGGGGCCAUCUUGCCACUUCAAGUGGACGCAGCCUGAGAACAAGGCCAACAGAGAUGGAAGCUGAGCUGUGAGAUGGAGAGAGAUGGAGACCAGAUGACAUCUUUUGAGCACCUGGAUCUAAUCAUGCCUUUAGCUAAUCCAGCCCCUGUUCAUUUCUUUUGCAUGGGUUCAGACCUUCUCUUUUGAAAGUUUGAUUUGGAAUUCUGUCACUUGCGGCCAGAAUAGUCUUAAUAAUCAGUGCUAUAAAUUGUAUAUAGUUCUCAUUACAAAGUAUGUUAUGGCUCAGUCUUUUCUUAAUGGAUCUUUUUGUCUAAAGAUGCUGGAUUAUGGCAGCAUCUGUGGCUCAGUGAGUAGGGCGCCAGACCCAUAUGCCAAGGGUGGCGGGUUCAAACCCAGCCCCGGCCAAACUGCAACAAAAAAAUAGCCGGGCAUUGUGGCGGGUGCCUAUAGUCCCAGCUGCUCGGGAGGCUGAGGCAAGAGAAUUGCGUAAGCCCAAGAGUUAGAGGUUGCUGUGAGCCGUGUGACGCCACGACACUCUACCAAGGGCAGUACAGUGAGACUCUGUCUCUACACACACAAAAAAAAGAUGCUGGAUUAUAAAUUUGUUUAAAAAAACAAAUAAGACCAUACAUGGGGCAGCGCCUGUGGCUCAGUGAGUAGGGUGCUGGCCCCAUAUACCGAGGGUGGCGGGUUUAAACCCAGCCCAGGCCAAACUACAAUAAAAAAUAGCCGGGUGUUGUGGCGGGUGCCCGUAGGCUCAGCUACUUGGGAGGCUGAGACAAGAGAAUCAUCUUAAGCCCAAGGGCUGGAGGUUGCUGUGAGCUGUGAUGCUAUGGCACUCUACCGAGGGCAACAAAGUGAAACUCUGUAUCUAAAAAAAAACCAUACAUGUAAAGAAGCUGUCAUUAUUCUCCAUGUAGAGAAAACCCAGUAAAUAUUAACUACCAGAAGCAGGCGUGGAAGAAGGGGUAUUGAAUUAAAAGGAACUCCUGAAGUCCUAGGGUAAUCUAGGAAUCCUCAAACCUAAUCUAGUCUCUUCUAAAUGCCUCUUAGUUCCCUGUGCUUUCCCCUUAUAACCCUUCAUUAUGGUUGUGGUGGUAAUGUUUAUGUGAUAUUUUGAUUAAAGUCUAUCUCACUGACCUGGCAGGGCUUCUAGGGCAAUGAUUUUGCUCACUGUUACAUCUCUAGCACCUAGUCCAGUGUGGCAUUCAGCAUAGGUAUAGGGAAUUGAAUUGUCAUUUACAGUUAUUCUAGUUGGACUGACCCUCCUUGAUUAUUGGGGUUAGGAUUGUGACAGAGUUGGCAAAAUUAGGGAAAGUGGCCCCUAUUCCCUGUACAUCUCCUGUACUGCCUACGCUGCCAACACACGUAGAGAAUUCUGUCUCGGUGAGAUAGUUAAUUUCUGUUUGGUGAUGAACCAAACCACUAGUUCUUAUGUUUUUACUGGAUAUUUUAUUGAAGAAUUAAGUAGUGUGAUUCUGACCUAUUAUCUUUAAAAACCUUGCAGACCAGUAGGUUGGGUCUUAGUGAUUAACAAGCAGCCUACCUUGUUCCUGUAUCUUUAUAAAAUCACUUACUUAACUGGUAGUCCAUCCUCCCUCAGGCUUUUACAGACAUUUGUUGAAGGGCUGUAGGAAGGCCUGGAAUCUGACAAAGACUUCACUCCCUAGCACAAAACAAAAGCGGCACUGGGUGGCCCCAAAGGUAACUGUAAACUCACUCCUUCAUCAGUCUUGGCUGGAGCACCUUCCCUGUCCCAGCCCUGCUCUGCACUCCCAGUGCACAGCUCUCCACUCCCAGUGCACAGCUCUCCCUGGCUCCACCUCCCAGCUGAGGCUGCAGUUCAUCCCUUCCCCCAGCCUGCUUUCCCGGAGGUGGGGGAGUGUUUCCCAGGGCCCAUGUGACUUCCAGUGGCUAGUGACGAUUACCAACGGUUUACCAGUCAGUAAAACUGCCAAAGGCUUUUGUGCUGUAAUAAUCCUUUUCCUGUCUAAAACUCCAGGGAUUUUUUUACUGUUGCCAAUAGUUUUUCAAGUCAGCAAUUAACGAUGUGGAUUAUGUAAUGGCUGGGUAUUAAAAAUAGAAAAGAC
Molecule: long non-coding RNA, 3449 nt
Organism: Nycticebus coucang (slow loris)
Lineage: Eukaryota; Metazoa; Chordata; Mammalia; Primates; Lorisidae
Exons: 5
Source: RefSeq, a predicted model, not a curated record